UACUGCUAUCAGUGUUCGAUUAAGCCAUGCGAGUUAAAUGUUCUUCGUGAACAUGGCGUACUGCUCAGUAACACGUGGAUAACCUGCCCUAAGGUCCGGCAUAACCCCGGGAAACUGGGGAUAAUACCGGAUAAACCAUAGAUACUGGAAUGUUCUGUGGUUAAAAGUUCCGGCGCCUUAGGAUGGAUCUGCGGCCUAUCAGGUAGUAGUGGGUGUAAAGUACCUACUAGCCGACGACGGGUACGGGUUGUGAGAGCAAGAGCCCGGAGAUGGAUUCUGAGACAUGAAUCCAGGCCCUACGGGGCGCAGCAGGCGCGAAAUCUUUACAAUGCGGGAAACCGCGAUAAGGGGACACUGAGUGCCAGCAUAUUAUGUUGGCCGUCCACCUGUAUAAAUCACAGGUGUUAGCAAGGGCCGGGCAAGACCGGUGCCAGCCGCCGCGGUAACACCGGCGGCCCGAGUGGUAGCCACUAUUAUUGGGUCUAAAGGGUCCGUAGCCGGUUUGAUCAGUCUUCCGGGAAAUCUGACAGCUCAACUGUUAGGCUUCCGGGGGAUACUGUCA
RNAcentral lists this ribosomal RNA (562 nucleotides) under uncultured archaeon. RNAcentral's name for it is "bacterial SSU rRNA". It matches the Rfam family "Archaeal small subunit ribosomal RNA", at positions 25 to 589 of the family's 1478-position model. The record is from RNAcentral.